UGGCGUCAGCUGAAAAUGAAGCCUGUGCUGUGCGGAGCGUCGCCUGCCCCUCACAAGCAUGGCGUCUGCAGAAGGUGCUGUGCGGCCGCUGCGGGGCGGCCAGCUGCCCUUCACAAACAUGGCGGCCGGGGGGUGCGGGGCGUGGCGGGGUAAGGAUGGGAAGCCGAGCAGACGGCCCCAGAACAAGCGGUCAUGUGACUGGGAAGAUGGCCGUCUUUCCUUGGCACUCCAGGAAUAGGAACUACAAAGCUGAAUUUGCAUCAUGCCGACUGGAGGCUGUACCAUUGGAGUUUGGGGACUAUCACCCUCUGAAACCCAUAACUGUCACAGAGUCAAAGACAAAGAAAGUGAACCGGAAAGGAAGCACUUCUUCCACGUCCUCCUCCUCCUCCAGCUCCGUGGUGGACCCGCUGAGCAGCGUCCUCGAUGGGACUGACCCCCUCUCCAUGUUUGCAGCCACUGCUGACCCCGCAGCCUUGGCAGCUGCCAUGGACAGCUCCAGAAGGAAACGUGAUAGAGAUGAUAACUCCGUUGUAGGAUCGGAUUUUGAGCCUUGGGCCAACAAACGGGGAGAAAUCCUUGCCCGGUACACCACUACCGAAAAGCUGUCUAUUAAUCUGUUUAUGGGAUCUGAAAAAGGCAAAGCUGGGACUGCCACACUGGCAAUGUCAGAGAAGGUUCGGACCCGGCUGGAGGAGCUGGAUGACUUUGAGGAGGGUUCCCAAAAGGAGCUGUUGAACUUGACUCAGCAGGAUUACGUGAACCGCAUAGAGGAGCUCAACCAAUCGCUGAAGGAUGCCUGGGCCUCAGACCAGAAAGUGAAGGCUCUAAAAAUAGUCAUCCAGUGUUCAAAGCUUCUUUCAGACACCAGUGUUAUUCAGUUCUACCCAAGCAAAUUUGUCCUUAUCACCGACAUACUUGAUACAUUUGGAAAGCUUGUGUACGAGCGCAUCUUUUCCAUGUGUGUGGAUAGCCGCAGCGUCUUACCAGAUCACUUUUCUCCAGAGAAUGCAAAUGACACGGCCAAGGAAACAUGCCUAAAUUGGUUUUUCAAGAUUGCCUCCAUCAGGGAACUCAUUCCAAGAUUUUACGUGGAGGCAUCCAUCCUGAAAUGUAACAAAUUCCUCUCCAAAACGGGAAUUUCAGAGUGCCUGCCCCGGUUGACAUGCAUGAUCAGAGGGAUCGGAGACCCACUGGUGUCGGUGUAUGCCCGUGCCUACCUGUGCCGGGUGGGAAUGGAAGUGGCCCCACAUCUCAAAGAAACCCUAAAUAAGAACUUUUUUGACUUCCUCCUUACGUUCAAACAGAUUCAUGGGGAUACGGUCCAGAACCAGCUGGUGGUCCAAGGAGUGGAGCUCCCAUCUUACCUCCCCUUGUACCCGCCUGCCAUGGACUGGAUCUUCCAGUGCAUCUCCUACCAUGCCCCCGAGGCUCUGCUGACUGAGAUGAUGGAAAGGUGUAAGAAACUAGGAAACAAUGCCUUGCUGUUGAAUUCUGUGAUGUCUGCCUUCCGGGCUGAGUUCAUCGCCACAAGGUCUAUGGAUUUCAUUGGCAUGAUUAAAGAGUGUGAUGAAUCUGGUUUCCCCAAGCAUCUCCUUUUUCGAUCACUGGGGUUAAACUUGGCCUUGGCUGAUCCUCCUGAGAGUGACCGACUUCAGAUUCUCAACGAAGCUUGGAAAGUCAUCACUAAGCUGAAGAACCCACAGGACUACAUUAAUUGUGCCGAAGUGUGGGUGGAAUACACCUGCAAGCAUUUCACGAAACGAGAGGUGAAUACCGUUUUGGCAGAUGUCAUCAAGCACAUGACUCCAGAUCGUGCAUUUGAAGAUUCCUACCCCCAGCUUCAGUUAAUAAUUAAGAAAGUUAUUGCCCACUUCCAUGACUUCUCAGUUCUUUUCUCAGUGGAAAAAUUUCUGCCGUUUCUGGACAUGUUCCAAAAAGAGAGUGUGCGGGUGGAGGUUUGCAAAUGCAUCAUGGACGCCUUUAUCAAGCAUCAACAAGAGCCCACCAAGGACCCGGUCAUCUUGAAUGCCCUUUUGCAUGUUUGCAAGACCAUGCAUGACUCUGUGAAUGCACUCACUCUUGAGGAUGAGAAAAGAAUGCUGUCAUAUUUGAUUAAUGGAUUUAUAAAAAUGGUUUCCUUUGGCCGUGAUUUUGAACAACAGCUGAGUUUUUAUGUUGAGUCCAGGUCGAUGUUUUGCAAUCUGGAGCCUGUUCUUGUGCAGUUGAUUCAUAGUGUGAACCGGUUGGCAAUGGAGACAAGAAAAGUAAUGAAAGGAAAUCAUUCCAGAAAGACAGCUGCAUUUGUCCGGGCCUGUGUUGCCUACUGCUUCAUCACCAUUCCCUCCCUGGCGGGCAUCUUCACACGUCUCAAUCUCUACCUGCAUUCUGGUCAGGUGGCCUUGGCCAACCAGUGCCUCUCCCAAGCUGAUGCUUUUUUCAAAGCCGCUAUAAGCCUCGUUCCGGAAGUUCCAAAGAUGAUUAAUAUUGACGGGAAGAUGCGGCCAUCAGAAUCGUUCCUUCUGGAAUUCCUCUGCAAUUUCUUUUCUACUUUAUUAAUAGUUCCGGAUCAUCCUGAACACGGGGUCCUGUUUCUUGUUCGAGAGCUUCUCAACGUGAUCCAGGACUACACCUGGGAGGACAACAGCGAUGAGAAAAUCCGCAUCUACACCUGCGUCCUGCAUCUCCUCUCUGCCAUGAGCCAGGAGACGUACCUUUACCACAUAGACAAAGUGGACUCCAACGACAGCCUCUACGGGGGAGACUCCAAGUUCCUGGCAGAAAACAACAAGCUGUGUGAGACGGUGAUGGCUCAGAUCCUAGAGCAUCUGAAAACCCUGGCCAAGGACGAGGCCCUGAAGCGCCAGAGCUCGUUGGGCCUUUCCUUCUUUAACAGCAUCUUGGCCCAUGGGGACCUACGCAACAACAAGCUCAACCAGCUCUCCGUCAACCUGUGGCACCUGGCACAGAGGCACGGCUGUGCAGACACCAGGACCAUGGUGAAAACGCUAGAAUACAUCAAGAAGCAAAGCAAACAACCAGACAUGACUCAUCUGACGGAGCUGGCCCUCAGACUCCCUCUGCAAACAAGGACCUGACCCCCGGGCCCAUCCCCAGGCUCAGCCACAAUUCUAAGCAGCAUGUGAUUCUGUCUGCUUUUCUUCCAACAGUUUGGUGGAACCUGAUUCUUCUAUUACGGCUGGGUCUUGAUAUGCUGCCUGGAACUGUUACUGCCAUCUUUGUACUAGCCUUGAUGAAGCCAACACUGGGGAUGAUGGAGAGAAUGCUUCCUUGGUGAGCUGUUGAACCAGGCCCUAAUCAGGCCUUCCUGCCACGUGAGACUGAACUUUCUGGCCAUCAAGGCCUGCCUGGGCUGGGAUGUCUGUAGGAGGCAUGUUCAGGCCAAAUAAUCGUGAAAAUGUCCCAGUCAGAACCUGUAUUUUGGGAUGCAAAAAGCUAGGUGAGUGGAAAGAAGGUGGUCACAGAUGGUCACAUGAGACUUGGGCCACUGGACCUGGAGCUCUUUGAGGCUUGCUGUAGAGUCCAGGCUUGGAAACGCUGUCCCCACAGCCGAUGAGGCAACUUCCCGUGUCAUCUCCACACGUUCAUCUCCUCCUGGCAUUCAAUAUCCACCUACAGAAGUCACCUGGGAUUCUCUUCCUUGUGAUAAAAAAGAAUCUCAUCAGACACAUCCCUGGGGCUGGGCACAGUGGCUCACACCUGUGAUCCCAGCUCUGGGGGGCUGAGGCAGGAGCAUGAGUUGAGUCCAGGAGUUUGGGACUAGCCUGGACAAUAUAGUGAGACCCCGUCUCUACAAAAAAUUUUAAACACUAGCUGGUUGUUGUGGUGCACACCCACAGUCCCAGCUACUUGGGAGGCUGAGGUGGGAGGAUCACUUAAGCUGGAUAGGUAGUGGUUGCAAUAAGCCGUGAUAUGCCACUACACUCCAGCCUGGGUGACAGAGUGAGACCCUAUCUCAAAACACACACAUACGUCCCUGGGAUCUGCCAUUGGUUCAUUUGCGGGACUAACCACUCUUCCUAAAAUGCCUUGUUCAGAAUCCAGUCAAAGCACAAAAAUCCUACCUCAGCACUUAGGGCCGAAGGGACACCAGUGGAAAAGGCAGGACUGGUUUAGAGGCACAUUUCCCAGCAGCAGCAGCUCAGUCACAUGUGUUUGGUAACAACUCAGACACCUCUCUGCCUACAGCUGCUCUAUGACAGGGGAAAGGAAAAGGAAGGAAAAGGAGCUUGUGAUUCUCCGUUCCUCAUUCACUCCACUUUUUAUCAGAGAUGCAGACUUGUCAUAAAACUUUUUCCUCCAUCUAAAGACAUUUCAAUCCCCAACGAGGAUUCUGGUGGAAAUUCCCUAAAGGGGACAUUCAGAGUGGCGAAUAGUGAACUUAGGGCUUCGGGUACAAAAGUACAACACCCUGCACUUAGUGGCUGGGUGACCCCAGGCAAUUUUAUUACUUUAUCCCUGAACCUCAGUUGCCUCAUCUAUAAGAUGGGGCUAAUAAUAGCACCCAUUUCAUAAUUAUGAAGAUUAAAUACAUUAAGGAAAACACUAGUAUGUCCCUAGCACCUGCUAAACACUCAACAAAGGUUAACUGUACAUACUGAUGUCUCAAACAGGGACGGAAUGUUUAACACAGAAAACAGGAGGUUUUAGCACUCACUCGUUCUCCUGGCUCCCGAAACAUGAGCUGCCCCGCCCCAGUUCAUCCAAGCCCAUCAAUAUAGUUGUCCUCGUCCUUAAUUUCCACAGGUGUUCAAUGUGAGCCAACUGUCAGAUGGCUUUCAUUUGCACAACUGAAUAAACCAUUUAUGCCUAGUGUUCCAUUAC
This is an RNA transcript of Pan troglodytes (chimpanzee), 4845 nucleotides long. It is a transcript of the gene named VPS35 endosomal protein sorting factor like, with no coding region annotated. The record is from RefSeq and is a predicted model, not a curated record. The transcript has 33 exons. Lineage: Eukaryota; Metazoa; Chordata; Mammalia; Primates; Hominidae.